Small nucleolar RNA from Suricata suricatta (meerkat), 128 nucleotides. Its record names the gene SNORA71. It matches the Rfam family "Small nucleolar RNA SNORA71". From Rfam's summary of the family: The members of this family belong to the H/ACA class of snoRNAs which bind a number of proteins (including dyskerin, Gar1p and Nop10p) to form snoRNP complexes. The record is from Ensembl. Lineage: Eukaryota; Metazoa; Chordata; Mammalia; Carnivora; Herpestidae.
UCCUAUACCCGAAAGUGACUGCAGGCUGCCCGUGCCCUGGUCAUUGGUGGUGCGGGAAGAGGAAUCACUGAGAAGAGCUUGCAUUCAGAGGGUCCAGCCAUCCCUUCCUAAUCUGGAGCUUUCCCACC